This 498-nucleotide ribosomal RNA is filed under the name uncultured bacterium. Its description in RNAcentral is "bacterial SSU rRNA". It matches the Rfam family "Bacterial small subunit ribosomal RNA", at positions 73 to 565 of the family's 1533-position model. The record is from RNAcentral.
UGGGUGCUUGCACCCAGGCGUCGAGCGGCGGACGGGUGAGUAACGCGUGAGAAUCUGCCCAUUUGUGGGGGAUAACUCGGGGAAACUCGAGCUAAUACCGCAUAAUCCCUACGGGGGAAAGCAGGGGACCUUCGGGCCUUGUGCAGAUGGAUGAGCUCGCGUCGGAUUAGCUAGUUGGUGGGGUAAAGGCCUACCAAGGCGACGAUCCGUAGCUGGUCUGAGAGGAUGAUCAGCCACACCGGGACUGAGACACGGCCCGGACUCCUACGGGAGGCAGCAGUGGGGAAUCUUGGACAAUGGGGGCAACCCUGAUCCAGCCAUGCCGCGUGUGUGAAGAAGGCCCUAGGGUUGUAAAGCACUUUCAGCAGGGAGGAAGGCUUACUGUUAAUACCGGUGAGUACUUGACGUUACCUGCAGAAGAAGCACCGGCUAAUUUCGUGCCAGCAGCCGCGGUAAUACGAAAGGUGCGAGCGUUAAUCGGAAUUACUGGGCGUAAAG